CGGCUCCGCGCCCGCAGCCUCCCCAAGCCGGGGCUUCCCGCGACGCCUGCUGCAGCCACCUCGUCUCUGGCCCGCCGGCCGCCGGGAGGGAGGAGGAGGAGGAGAGAGGGAGGGAGGAGGGCGGCGAGGGAGAGGGGGCGGCGGGGAGGGAGAGAGGGUCCCGGGUGGGGGGAGGAGGGGCGAGCGCGGGCCGCGGCCAAGGGCUAGCGCGCGGGGAGGGCGCCGAGGGGCGGGGGCGGAGAGGGGGAGCACCCGCCGCGCCGGCCUGCCGCCCCCCCCCCCCCCGCCGCCGCCCAGUCACCAUCGCCGCCUCCGUCCCGCUCGGGGCCGGGCGUCCGGGGGGAGGGUCGGGCGCGGCGGUCCCCCGGCGCGGCGAGCGGGGCGGGCCGGCGGGCGGACGAGGCCCGGCCUCCGGAGGGGAGGGUCCUGCGGGCCCGGCGGGUGUUGGCGAAAGGGGAUCCCCGGGGGGAGGGGCGGAGGCCGGGGCCUGGGAGCCGCUCGCUGCGCCCGCCCGGCGGCGGUGCCUCCCGGAUCCAGCGAGGGUCCCCGGGCCGUGCCGGGAACCUCCGGGACGGGUGUCUCCGGAGCGCCGAGAGCGCGCACGGCCGGCGGGGUGGCGGGAGCGGCGAAGUCGGAGUCGGAGGGAGAGGCCCGGCUCCUCGGGCGGAGCGCGGGCCCCGGAGCGGUUCCCCAGGCUGGGCCCGAGCGCGAGAACGUCCGCCCGGUGGGCCCGGGGAAUCCAGAGCGGGCGGUGGGCUGGGGUGCCUGCACCCCCAUCCUCGCCUUCCUGUCCCGGAGAGGAGCCUCCGGCAUAAGUUUCCCUGUGCCGUGGGUCUCCAGAAACAUGCUGAGUCGACCGUACUUCCUUCCAUACAUCUGUUGAGCUCUGAUUAUAUGCCAGGGACUGUUCUAGGCACUGGGGAUGCAUCAGUGAACAAAGAGAAGCACAGAAAUGCCUGCCUUCAUAGACUGUGCGUCCUCGAACGUGGCAACACAGGAUGACAUUUUCCUAGAUUACAGAUCUUUCUCAGAAGAGGUACGAAAUACAAAGAAGCAUGGGGGAUUAGCUGUUUUCCAAUAUUGACGACAGGCAUCAAACCACCCAGUUGUUUUUGGUAACAACAGUGCUGUGCAUCUGGUCCCUGACUAGUGCUUUCCGGAGCUUUAUCUUUUCUAUUAUGAAUUAUGUGUGGCUCUCAAUACCCCUAAGAGGUAAAGUUUUCCUCUUACCCUCUCUAAGACCUACAAUGAAAUUUGGAAAAUGCUCACUCAGCGUGAUUCAGUAGCAAUGCAAAGAUGGAAAUUUGAGGAAACUACUGCUGUUCUUUGCAUUGUGAAGAGGAUCUUUGUCCCUAAUCUGGCUCAGACUGAAAAACCUAAUCUGAAAGUCUGUCCUGUAAGAAACUUUUUUUCUUUUACUUUCUCUUCCAAUCCUCUUCUUGGAAACAAGAAGCACAAACACGUCUCUGUGAAAUUAGCAAUUGUUGGGCAGCCUAUCUUCAUGUAGCACUCGAGUUAGAAGAUAUAGUAUUUUCUACUGAUAAUAACAGUAUUGUGUAUUCUGCCUACUUCCUAUUCUGAGUGACUUGUUAUCAAUAUAACAGAAGAGGGGCUGGCUCUGUGGCUGAGUGCUUAAGUUCGUGUGCUCCGCUUGGGUGGCCCAGGGUUUCUC
RNAcentral lists this long non-coding RNA (1672 nucleotides) under Equus asinus (donkey). Its description in RNAcentral is "lncRNA (ENSEASG00005038108.1)". Lineage: Eukaryota; Metazoa; Chordata; Mammalia; Perissodactyla; Equidae. The record is from RNAcentral.